AUGGGGCUACCCCCCCUAAACCAUAUGUUAGGAACUCAAAAAUCACCUUAGUUUUUCAUGAAUCCUCACCAAUCUCUCAAAUCAUAAACAAAAAGUUUGAACAUCAAAACUUUAAAUCAAGAUUUCUCACUCAAUAUUGCAUCAUUUUAAAAACAAAACACAUCUACAUCAUCACCAUAGCAUGUAGUUUCAUUUAGGCAUAAG
Molecule: long non-coding RNA, 204 nt
Filed under: Lathyrus oleraceus (garden pea)
Lineage: Eukaryota; Viridiplantae; Streptophyta; Magnoliopsida; Fabales; Fabaceae
Description: Pisum sativum (pea) long non-coding RNA (PSAT_LNC027233)
Source: RNAcentral